This is a long non-coding RNA of Penaeus chinensis, 661 nucleotides long. RefSeq lists it as uncharacterized. NCBI's taxonomy places the organism in Eukaryota, Metazoa, Arthropoda, Malacostraca, Decapoda, Penaeidae. The transcript has 4 exons. The record is from RefSeq and is a predicted model, not a curated record.
GCACGCGGGCCAGGUUGUGGAGACAGCGGAGGUCAAUGCUCUCGUAGAGGCUUGUACGUUUGACCUUUGCAUGCUGUACAGUAACACUGACGGUAACAUGACGGCCAUUGAAGAGUACAUGGACACAGUCAUCGCUGAUGUUGUUGUAAGGAUUAUCGAGAUUGAAGCCGUGUUGACAGAUGUUGAAAGCUUCACGACUAUUGCGCCUCCUAACACGACGAUAGCCCGAGGCCGUCCAAAGAGGAGGCGCACAUACCUCAAGAUUGAACAAAAGGUCUAUCUUUAAGAACCAAGAGCAUCCUGAAGCUCGCGAAUGACUUAACCCGGUGAUGGCUACAAGGAGAGAAACUAAUACGAGGACCAGCUGUUUGGAUCAACUGAUCUGGAACGAUCAGCUGAUUUUAACUGAAUUCCCGGAUAUCUACAAUAAAUUUUUUCUCAAUUUUUUGUUUAUUUUUAUUCAGAUCAGAGAUUCUCCAACAUGGGUCAAAUGCCAUGAUCCAGUUCUCAGAAUUCUCGUUAUUGAUAUAUUGAUUGACUAGAGAUUUUUUAAAAAAGAUUAUUAGAGGGAAAUACUACGAACACUAAUGAAUGGUGUCAGUUAUUACAUUUCACAAGGUCAUCUUGUAACGGUGAAUCAAAUAAAAUACGAAUAAAAUUA